RNAcentral lists this ribosomal RNA (253 nucleotides) under uncultured bacterium. RNAcentral describes it as "partial 16S ribosomal RNA". It matches the Rfam family "Bacterial small subunit ribosomal RNA", at positions 524 to 776 of the family's 1533-position model. The record is from RNAcentral.
UACGUAGGGGGCAAGCGUUGUCCGGAUUCGAUUGGCGUAAAGAGCGUGUAGGCGGCCAGGUAGGUCUGCUGUGAAAACUCGAGGCUCAACCUCGAGACGUCGGCGGAAACCAUCUGGCUAGAGUCCGGAAGAGGAGAGUGGAAUUCCUGGUGUAGCGGUGAAAUGCGCAGAUAUCAGGAAGAACACCCGUGGCGAAGGCGGCUCUCUGGGACGGUACUGACGCUGAGACGCGAAAGCGUGGGGAGCGAACAGG